Molecule: ribosomal RNA, 301 nt
Filed under: uncultured bacterium
Lineage: Bacteria
Description: partial 16S ribosomal RNA
Rfam family: Bacterial small subunit ribosomal RNA
Source: RNAcentral
CAGCCGCCGCGGUAAUACGAAGGGGGCUAGCGUUGUUCGGAAUUACUGGGCGUAAAGCGCACGUAGGCGGAUAUUUAAGUCAGGGGUGAAAUCCCGCAGCUCAACUGCGGAACUGCCUUUGAUACUGGGUAUCUUGAGUAUGGAAGAGGUUAGUGGAAUUGCGAGUGUAGAGGUGAAAUUCGUAGAUAUUCGCAGGAACACCAGUGGCGAAGGCGGCUAACUGGUCCAUAACUGACGCUGAGGUGCGAAAGCGUGGGGAGCAAACAGGAUUAGAUACCCCUGUAGUCCCUGUCUCUUAUAC